RNAcentral lists this long non-coding RNA (876 nucleotides) under Homo sapiens (human). RNAcentral describes it as "HSALNT0156187". The record is from RNAcentral. Lineage: Eukaryota; Metazoa; Chordata; Mammalia; Primates; Hominidae.
UUUGGAAGAAAAGCAAAAUAAAGAAAAAAAAAAGGCAGACUGGAGCCAGAAUGCCUGAGUUUGAAUCCACUUCAUGGCUGCAUGAAUUUUUUUUUUUUUUUUGAGACAGAGUCUCGCUCUGUUGCCCAGGCUGGAGUGCAGUGGCACAAUCAUAGCCCACUGCAACCUCAACCUCCUGGGCCCAAGCAGUCCGCCCAUCUCAGCAUCCCAAAGUGCUGGGAUUACAAGUAUGAGCCACCGCACCCGGCCAGCAAAUACUAAAUAAAUGUUAGCUGUUUAUUAUUUUUUUCUAAUACUUAUGCCCAUACAAUCAGCUUAUAACCUCCAUAGACCCUCACAGACUAUUCAGCAGAUUAGGAAGGAGGCCCCCUCCCCGUGGAGUAGGCCAGUUAUGAUUUCUCUCUCCUCUUUCCAGGUAUCCCCAUUUGACAGAUGGGACAACUGAGGCCCAGAGAGGUUGCUCAACUUGCUCAGGAUUGCCAAGUUUUAGCAAUUCAAGGUCUAUGCCUGCCCCAAACAAGAAGGUAGCCUGGCUGCAGGUUUCUGGGCAAAGAAAGUCAAUACUGGGAGUUACCUUUCCUCUUCGGCAGCUGCAGGAGGUUAUUCCAGAGGCCAGGGAACCACUUUAUAGCCCUCCAGGGAGAUGUGGGGGGUCUUGCUCCAUUCCCAAGCCUAAAGUGCAGUGGCACGAUCUGCAGGAUCACUGCAGCCUCAACCUCACAGACUCAAGCUAUCCUCCUGCCUUAGUGCCUGGCCUGCGGAUCAUCCAAACUCAAGCCACAUCGAGAGGCAGGUGUGUGUGCGGGGGAAGGGCAGGGAAAGAACAUCACCCACCGACCAUGCUGUGCUCCUCCGUGAUGCCCUGAAGUCCUCCUG